CCUGGUAUAAAGCAUAGCAUAUAUAAUUGAUCUUAUAACCAAAGUAUAAGGAAUAGAACUCAUUCUCUUUCUCUGUUCAGGUGUCUUAGAAGAUCUUUUUAGAGAGAUGUAUGCCAUGAUUUAUGGAUAAGUAACAUCUUUUACUCCUAUCCAUGUGGAACCUCUUCAAUACUAGAUCUAUGUAUUUAGACUGGGACAAGCCUAGCAUUA
RNAcentral lists this long non-coding RNA (210 nucleotides) under Elaeis guineensis (African oil palm). RNAcentral describes it as "long non-coding RNA (EGUI_LNC041333)". The record is from RNAcentral. Lineage: Eukaryota; Viridiplantae; Streptophyta; Magnoliopsida; Arecales; Arecaceae.